Molecule: ribosomal RNA, 94 nt
Filed under: Xenorhabdus japonica
Lineage: Bacteria; Pseudomonadati; Pseudomonadota; Gammaproteobacteria; Enterobacterales; Morganellaceae
Source: RNAcentral
UCCCACCUGACCCCAUGCCGAACUCAGCAGUGAAACACCGUAGCGCCGAUGGUAGUGUGGGGCCUCCCCAUGUGAGAGUAGGACACUGCCAGAC